GUGCCAGCCGCCGCGGUAAUACGUAUGGGGCAAGCGUUGUUCGGAGUUAUUGGGCGUAAAGGGCGUGUAGGCGGCUCAUCAAGUCUGGUGUGAAAUUGCAGGGCUCAACCCUGCAGGUGCGCUGGAAACUGGUGGGCUAGAGUUCUUGAGGGGAAGCUGGAAUUCCAGGUGUAGGGGUGAAAUCUGUAGAUAUCUGGAAGAACACCGGUGGCGAAGGCGAGCUUCUAUCAGAGGACUGACGCUGAGGCGCGAAAGCGUGGGGAGCAAACAGGAUUAGAUACCCUGGUAGUCCACGCUGUAAACGAUGUGCACUAGGCGUGGGGCACGUACGUGCUCUGUGCCGCAGCCAACGCGAUAAGUGCACCGCCUGGGGAGUAUGCUCGCAAGGGUGAAACUUAAAGGAAUUGACGGGG
Molecule: ribosomal RNA, 413 nt
Filed under: uncultured prokaryote
Description: bacterial SSU rRNA
Rfam family: Bacterial small subunit ribosomal RNA
Source: RNAcentral